RNAcentral lists this ribosomal RNA (506 nucleotides) under uncultured bacterium. RNAcentral's name for it is "bacterial SSU rRNA". It matches the Rfam family "Bacterial small subunit ribosomal RNA", at positions 21 to 518 of the family's 1533-position model. The record is from RNAcentral.
GGCUCAGAACGACGCUGGCGGCGCGUUUAAGCAUGCAAGUCGAGCGGCAAGGGCCUUCGGGCCCCUAGAGCGGCGGACGGGUGAGUAACACGUGGACAAUCUGCCCCCCGGCCCGGGAUAGCCCAGGGAAACCUGGAUUAAUACCGGAUGAGACGGGACCCGCGAUGGCGGGACCCGGGAAAGGCGCUGCGGCGCCGCCGGGGGAUGAGUCUGCGUCCCAUUAGCUAGACGGCGGGGUAACGGCCCACCGUGGCGACGAUGGGUAGCCGGCCUGAGAGGGUGGACGGCCACAUUGGAACUGAGACACGGUCCAGACUCCUACGGGAGGCAGCAGCUAAGAAUCUUCCGCAAUGGGCGAAAGCCUGACGGAGCCGACGCCGCGUGAACGAAGAAGGCCGUGAGGUUGUAAAGUUCUUUUCGGGAGGGGGAACAACCGUGGCAGGGAAUGGCCGCGGGAUGACGUGAAUCCCGGAAUAAGCCCCGGCUAACUACGUGCCAGCCGCUGC